RNAcentral lists this transfer RNA (75 nucleotides) under Glaciihabitans tibetensis. It matches the Rfam family "tRNA". From Rfam's summary of the family: Transfer RNA (tRNA) molecules are approximately 80 nucleotides in length. Their secondary structure includes four short double-helical elements and three loops (D, anti-codon, and T loops). Further hydrogen bonds mediate the characteristic L-shaped molecular structure. tRNAs have two regions of fundamental functional importance: the anti-codon, which is responsible for specific mRNA codon recognition, and the 3' end, to which the tRNAs corresponding amino acid is attached (by aminoacyl-tRNA synthetases). tRNAs cope with the degeneracy of the genetic code in two manners: having more than one tRNA (with a specific anti-codon) for a particular amino acid; and 'wobble' base-pairing, i.e. permitting non-standard base-pairing at the 3rd anti-codon position. The record is from Rfam by way of RNAcentral. Lineage: Bacteria; Bacillati; Actinomycetota; Actinomycetes; Micrococcales; Microbacteriaceae.
GCCCCCUUAGCUCAGCCUGGCCAGAGCACCGCUCUUGUAAAGCGGGGGUCGUCGGUUCGAAUCCGACAGGGGGCC